UUCAUUUUCCUUCUCUCUC
RNAcentral lists this small RNA (19 nucleotides) under Arabidopsis thaliana (thale cress). RNAcentral's name for it is "ATSL297660". Lineage: Eukaryota; Viridiplantae; Streptophyta; Magnoliopsida; Brassicales; Brassicaceae. The record is from RNAcentral.